GCACUAGUAGCUCAAAUGUCAGAGCGUCGGUCUUGUAAGCCGGAUGCGAAGGUUAAAAUCCUUCCUUAUGCU
This 72-nucleotide transfer RNA is filed under the name Petroscirtes breviceps (striped poison-fang blenny mimic). Its description in RNAcentral is "tRNA-Thr". It matches the Rfam family "tRNA". Rfam says of the family: Transfer RNA (tRNA) molecules are approximately 80 nucleotides in length. Their secondary structure includes four short double-helical elements and three loops (D, anti-codon, and T loops). Further hydrogen bonds mediate the characteristic L-shaped molecular structure. tRNAs have two regions of fundamental functional importance: the anti-codon, which is responsible for specific mRNA codon recognition, and the 3' end, to which the tRNAs corresponding amino acid is attached (by aminoacyl-tRNA synthetases). tRNAs cope with the degeneracy of the genetic code in two manners: having more than one tRNA (with a specific anti-codon) for a particular amino acid; and 'wobble' base-pairing, i.e. permitting non-standard base-pairing at the 3rd anti-codon position. Lineage: Eukaryota; Metazoa; Chordata; Actinopteri; Blenniiformes; Blenniidae. The record is from RNAcentral.